GACAUUGGCCAUACUUCCUUGGGCUGCGAUCCUAUCAGAUUUUACAACUAAUCAGGGUUGGAAUGAGUCAGUACUUGAUACAACAGACCUCCAAGGAAAACCCAUCUGCUGUAGGCA
RNAcentral lists this ribosomal RNA (117 nucleotides) under Loxodonta africana (African savanna elephant). The record is from RNAcentral. Lineage: Eukaryota; Metazoa; Chordata; Mammalia; Proboscidea; Elephantidae.